CUGUUGCCAGGUAGGUAUGCUCAGGGCAGGCCUGGGGAGCUCCCGAGUGGGUCUCACUUCCUCCAGGGCAGUAGUGGCCAGAGGGGCAGGCCUGGGUGGCCGGGGUGCCUGCAGAGCAAGGGCUGCCCUCACUUUUCUCCCCAGAUGUGGGGCUGGAAGGUUCCAAUCUCACAGGUCCUUGGCUGGGGUGAUCCCUCAGCCAAGGUGAUCCCUCAGCCAUCCCCACCAAACAACUCAAGCCACAGCAAAUGCCCAAAAUGUACUUUAACCACAACCACAACCCUCUGCAAGCCUUCUUGCCUCAGGCCUGACUCUAGCGGGGCACCUCUCCUCUGGCUUCCUCCCACCUGCUCAGGGGCACAGGUGCAAGCCGGAGGAAUCAGAUCUGUCUGCAGUCCUGGGACAGGAGGGCGAGUUGGGCUGAGAGCGGAGCCCAAGGAUACAGUCACGGCAGAAGGAUCCCAGGGGGCAGGGAGCCCCUGUCACCCUGUCCUUUGGAGAAGGGGAUGAUGCACCUUCUGCACAGAAGUAGCCAGGCUGGCAGGGCCCGCUGGGGGUGGAGAGGCCUGCCGCACAAGGCCCAGAGGCCCGGGUCAGGUUCUCCUACCCGCAGCAGUGGCCUGGGGGACAGGGCAGGCAGCUGUCCAGGCUCUGGGUCAGUGGGUCUGGGUCGUAGUAGCUCCGAGGGCAGGGGAACUGGGUGGCGUACUUCGUGCCUCGGGGCAGUAGAAGCCAGCGGGACAGGGGUGCCUGCUGUAGUUGGUGACGUUCUCGGGGCAGUAGUAGCCAGUGGGGCAAGGGAAGCAGGAGGCCUGGCCAGUCAGGUAGCUGUAGGAGCCAGCAGGGCAGGGCUGUGGGAGGCUGGUUCCCCUGGGGCAGAAGUGGCCUCGGGGACAGGGGCCCCCCUGCCCUGAGUGGCCUUUCUCUGUUAUGCCCUCCGUCCCUGCCGCUCGCCUGCCCUGCGGGAGGGGCCAUCGUGGCGGUGGGGUCCACGUCCAGCCCUGCCUCUCCUCAGGCUUAUUCUGCUCUGCAGCCUCCUCCAGGACAGGUGUUUCUU
This 1057-nucleotide long non-coding RNA is filed under the name Homo sapiens (human). Its description in RNAcentral is "long non-coding RNA NONHSAT185334.1". Lineage: Eukaryota; Metazoa; Chordata; Mammalia; Primates; Hominidae. The record is from RNAcentral.